RNAcentral lists this ribosomal RNA (419 nucleotides) under uncultured bacterium. RNAcentral's name for it is "bacterial SSU rRNA". It matches the Rfam family "Bacterial small subunit ribosomal RNA", at positions 29 to 494 of the family's 1533-position model. The record is from RNAcentral.
AACGAACGCUGGCGGCAGGCCUAACACAUGCAAGUCGAACGCUCCGCAAGGGGAGUGGCGCACGGGUGAGUAACACGUGGGAACCUACCUUCUGGUACGGAACAACCAAGGGAAACUUUGGCUAAGACCGUAUACGACCUCCGGGUGAAAGAUUGAUCGCCGGAAGAGGGGCCCGCGUCCGAUUAGGUAGUUGGUGAGGUAACGGCUCACCAAGCCUUCGAUCGGUAGCUGGUCUGAGAGGAUGACCAGCCACACUGGGACUGAGACACGGCCCAGACUCCUACGGGAGGCAGCAGUGGGGAAUAUUGGACAAUGGGCGCAAGCCUGAUCCAGCCAUGCCGCGUGAGUGAUGAAAGCCUUCGGGUUGUUAAAGCUCUUUCACCCACGACGAUGAUGACGGUAGUGGGAGAAGAAGCCCC